UUAGGGUUAUCUCAGCUAACAAUAAGAACAGGAAAGACAAGUUCAUGGCUGAGACAUCAAGAAAGGUUGAUGUGGUCAACAACAGAGUCGCUGUUCUUGAUAUGAAGUUGGUUGGAUUCCAAGCCUGGGUAUGUUGAAACUUUCGCUAUUGGGGUUGCUUCUGGGACUGCUUUGAGGAGGAUUGAAAGUGUCUGGCCUCAUGUUAUUGGGG
Molecule: unclassified non-coding RNA, 211 nt
Filed under: Hevea brasiliensis (rubber tree)
Lineage: Eukaryota; Viridiplantae; Streptophyta; Magnoliopsida; Malpighiales; Euphorbiaceae
Source: RNAcentral